This 406-nucleotide ribosomal RNA is filed under the name bacterium enrichment culture clone ALO1_GLFRUDD03F055V. Its description in RNAcentral is "bacterial SSU rRNA". It matches the Rfam family "Bacterial small subunit ribosomal RNA", at positions 9 to 416 of the family's 1533-position model. The record is from RNAcentral. RNAcentral also lists the same sequence under 34 other names.
GAGUUUGAUCCUGGCUCAGAUUGAACGCUGGCGGCAUGCCUUACACAUGCAAGUCGAACGGCAGCACGGGAGCUUGCUCCUGGUGGCGAGUGGCGAACGGGUGAGUAAUGCAUCGGAACGUAUCCUGGAGUGGGGGAUAACGUAGCGAAAGUUACGCUAAUACCGCAUAUUCUGUGAGCAGGAAAGCGGGGGACCUUCGGGCCUCGCGCUCUUGGAGCGGCCGAUGUCGGAUUAGCUAGUUGGUGAGGUAAAGGCUCACCAAGGCGACGAUCCGUAGCAGGUCUGAGAGGAUGAUCUGCCACACUGGAACUGAGACACGGUCCAGACUCCUACGGGAGGCAGCAGUGGGAAUUUUGGACAAUGGGGGCAACCCUGAUCCAGCCAUGCCGCGUGAGUGAAGAAGGCC